Molecule: transfer RNA, 69 nt
Filed under: Lingula anatina
Lineage: Eukaryota; Metazoa; Brachiopoda; Lingulata; Lingulida; Lingulidae
Description: tRNA-Trp
Rfam family: tRNA
About the family: Transfer RNA (tRNA) molecules are approximately 80 nucleotides in length. Their secondary structure includes four short double-helical elements and three loops (D, anti-codon, and T loops).
Source: RNAcentral
GGGGCUGUAGGUUAAUUAGAUCAUAGGUUUUCAAAACUUAGGGCGUGAGUUACAAUCUCACCGGCCCCU